UUUAAAUAUUACCGUCGUAUAAAAUACAUAUUUGAGUCUUUAUUUAAGGAUAAGAUCGUCUCGGUGCGCGAGAAGCAUUUUGCCGCGUUUCGUGCUGACUUAGCUUAGCUCGCUAGUUAGCUUAGCUUGUUAGCUGCUAACAAAGACGCAGAAGUUGUCAACACAUCGCUAAGUAGAGAUUAAGUGUGAGUGUCAAAGUGUUGGCAUUGUGUGAAAAUGAGUAAAUUACACAUGUUGAGAGAGUUGGUGGACCAGCGACUAACUGCUGCCGCCGAAGAAAUAUUUGUAGUGUUGGAAAGAACGAUAGCAGAAUACGAGGCGGAACUUUCUAGAACAAAGGAGGAGAAUAAUCAACUACUGGACGCUGUCUUCAAGAAACAUCAAGUUGUGCUGCACAGAACAGACGUCGCUGAUGAACAUCUUGUCCACCUGCGGGAGGAAGAACCACCACCCUUGUGCAUAAAAGAGGAAGAAGAGGUACCACAGCCCCCGAACAUUAAAGAGGAAGUGGAGGAACACGGCAUCAGUCAGGAGGGAGAGCAUAUUGAAGGACGGGCGGAGUCCCCAGCGACUGGUGUCCCUGUGAAGGGUGAAGAUGACGAGGUCAAAGGUGAAAGUGAGGAGAAGAGGGAGGCGGAGCCUCCAACUCAACACAUGACAACAGAAGCUGAUGGAGACCACUGUGGAGGAUCACAAGCAGACAAGAUCUCAGCUCCACCAUCAGAUAGUGAGGACACCACGCCACACUCUUCUAAAACUGAUGGUGAGGACACGUCUUACUCUCCUGACACUGAUGAUGAAGACUCUACAGACGACAAGACAUGGGACCCGGACAGCCCUCCCUGGAAAUGUCCUCACUGUGACAAAAGUUUUGGCCUCAAAACGUCCCUAAACAGACACAUGAAAAAUCACACCCAAGAGAAACCGUUCCCGUGUUUGGCGUGCAGUCAAGUAUUCAGCCUAAAAGCAGACCUGAUAAAACAUGCGAAAAUUCACACUCAAGAGAAACCUUCUUCUUGUUCAUUGUGCGGCGUACUUUUCACACGGAGUGAAAGCUUGAAAAGACACAUGAGAAGGCAUCCUGGAGUGAAACAAUUUUUCUGUUCUGUGUGUGGGGCGGGCUUUUCUAAAAAAGACAGUUUGAACAAGCACAUGACAACACACACUGGGGAAAAACCUUUUUCCUGCGCAACCUGCGGCAUGUGUUUUACAAGGAAGGACAGUUUGAAAGAUCACACAAGGAAACACACCGGGGAAAAACCUUUUGCCUGCUCAACCUGUGGCUUAUACUUUUCCCGGAGGAUCCAAAUGAUAGAGCACACCAGACUGCACACCGGUGAAAAACCUUUUUCCUGCGCAACCUGCGGCAUGCGUUUUACAAGGAAGGAUAGUUUGAAAGAUCACACAAGGAAACACACUGGGGAAAAACCUUUUUCCUGCUCUACCUGCGGCUUAUGUUUUACCAGAAGGCACCACUUGAAAUUGCACACCAGAACGCACACCGGAGAAAAGCCUUUUUCCUGUUCUGUGUGUGAUACCAAUUUCAGUCGAAGGGAUUGUUUGGAAAACCACAUGAGAACGCACACCGGAGAAAAAUCGUUCUCCUGUACAACGUGUGGUUUGAGUUUUACAAAGAAGAGUAGUUUGAAAUAUCACACGAGAAUACACACUGGGGGGAAAGUGCUGAGUUGCAGUGUGUGCGACGAAACAUUCUAUCACCAGAACCAACUCCACAAUCACCAGUGUGCUGGCAGUAAAAUAGAAAAGCGCACCGCGGACCUCCACCAGGAUCCGGAUGCUGAUCAGGACCAACACCGAAAUGUGAUCACUUGUUCCUUGACCAAUUUCUGACAUGUCCUGGCACUGAUAUUCAAGCAGACUUGAGUUUUAUUUUGUUAUAACUCAAACUGCCUACCUUACAGUCAAAGUUCCUUUUAGUUACUUUUCACUUUAAUAGCAAACUUGAAAAUAUGUAAAAUAGUCCUGCACCUGGCAGCUGCGGUCAAUCCUCCGGCAAUCGGCACACCUGAAGUUGAUCAGAGGUUCUACCUUCAAAAGCCUGCACAACCUGCUUUUCCGGGUCAGAACGUAGUCUUCUGUUCAAGUACACUACCCCUUCGUUCCCCAAUUUCCAGCUGUGCGCCUCGUCUCAGCCCGCCUUUCCUCUGCUUCCCUCACUGCCUCUUGGAUCUCGACCUUCCGCUUGGACACGGACCUUCUUCGGCUCGCCAUACUUCCUGUCUGCUCACGGGCCUCCGAGCUAUGCCUUGUCCCUCCUGAUCUUCCGCCUCUUGUUCAACACUACUGGUGGCCCUUGGCAAAGGCCUAGUACCUGACUGCCCCCUAGCCAGUGAUACAGUGAAGACCUCAAUGGUGGAGCAGGCGAAAGACGGUAGAUGUAUGAACCACCAUACAACCCUGUGGAGCGUCACAACGGCUGGGGUGGCGGAUGAAAUCUGCAGCAGAAAAGGGUCCCCAGUCGCCUUAGACUCCAUGCCACUGGACCCUGACCUGGAUUUGUCAGGGAUCGUGUCGUGACCGUGUGCACACCAGUCUCCCCACGUCAAACAAAGUCCCGCUCAGGCAUCCUCCAUAAAGGGAUAUCCGCCUACCAGGACGACCGUCAUACUCCCUUCAAGUGACCACCGAUGAUGGUAUCUAAUACAUCAUAAAGUUAAAUACAAUGCCCCCUUGUGGUCUGUGCUGUCUACUCCCCCCUUCACCCACACCCCUGUGCACAAUCCUUUUUUAUGAUAGACAUUUUUGUUUGUACUAGCAAUUUUAAACCAGUGCUGUAUCCUUUCCAUGUGACCUUGUAGAAUAAGAUCUGUUUCUUCAUAAAUAAUGCUCUGAAUCUUUGAGACGGUCAACAAAAAAUCAAGUCUAUUUUUUAAUUGGUCAAUUGGUUCACUUGUCUCUGAUUGGCAAUCUGGGCACCCCAGUUCCAAGUUGCCAGUUAGGCUCCUUUUUAUGCCAGCCCUGUCCUUCUGUCAGUGCUUUAUCAUUGCUUGCCCUUGCUUCGUGAUCGUUGUUUCGCUUGCGCCUGUAUUGGCAGGUUUCCCGUGCACUCCCCAGCUGCACCGUUUCUACCUUGCUUUUCACGUAGAGUAAAGUGAACCACUGAACAUAACAUGAAUGUACAGUAUUUACCUUGGAGACUGGCUUUCUAUGGAUUCUCCUUCCAGCUGCUUCUUUGUCAUACAUACAGUUGUGAUCAAAAUUAUUCAACCCCCACACAAUUUUGGUGUUUUAGCAAGUUGGACAUUUAUUCCAUAUUUUGUUUAUAGUCAUAUCAAAUAAAGAUGUGUCAAAUAGACAAAUGCAACUUAAA
RNA transcript from Nerophis ophidion (straightnose pipefish), 3331 nucleotides. It is a transcript of the gene named zinc finger protein OZF-like, with no coding region annotated. NCBI's taxonomy places the organism in Eukaryota, Metazoa, Chordata, Actinopteri, Syngnathiformes, Syngnathidae. The transcript is spliced from 3 exons. The record is from RefSeq and is a predicted model, not a curated record.